Molecule: long non-coding RNA, 1005 nt
Filed under: Salvator merianae (Argentine black and white tegu)
Lineage: Eukaryota; Metazoa; Chordata; Lepidosauria; Squamata; Teiidae
Description: lncRNA (ENSSMRG00000013970.1)
Source: RNAcentral
UCGCUCUCUCUCUCUCUUUCUUUCUAUCUUUCUUUGUCUCCCCCCUUUCUCUCUCUCUCUUUAUCUCUUUCUUUAUUUGUCUCUCACUCUCUCUGACUCUCUCUCUGUCUCACUCUCUCUCUCUGUUUCUCUCGCUCUCUUUCUCUCUCUCUCCCUUUCCCGCUCUCUUUCCCUCUCUNUUUCUUUCCCACUCUCUCUUUCCCUCUCUCCCUCACUCGCUCNUUCUCUAUUUCUUUCUGUCAAUCUCUCUCUCUUUCUUUCUCUCCCUUUCCCUUUGUUUCUUUUUGUCUCUUGUUCUUUCUUUUUCUCUCUCUUUCUCCCACUCUUUCUUUCUCUCUGUCUCUCUUUCCUUCAUUGUCUCCCUCUCUCCCUAUUUCUCUCCCUCUUUCUCUCUCUUUUUCUCUCUCUCUCACUCUCUCCCUUUUUUCUUUCUAUCUUUCUUUGUCUCUCUUUCUCUCUCUUUCUCUCUCUCUCUCUCUUUCUUUCUUUCUCUCUCUCAUUCUUUUUUCCUAUCUUUCUUUCUCCCUCUCUCUCUCUCUUUCUUUCGUUCUUUCUCACUCCCCCUCUUUCCCUCUCCUUCUCUCUCUUUCUUUCUUUCUCUCUCUCACUCUCUCUCCCUUUCUUUCUCUCUCUCUUUCUUUGUCUCUCACUCUCUCUGACUCUCUCUUUUUCUCGCUCUCUCUCCUUUCUUUCUUAGAGUGAGAGCGAAAGAGGAACACAGACAGAAAGUCUUAGAGAGAGAGAGAGAAAGAAAGAGAGAGAGAGAAAUAGAGGGAAACAGAGAAAGAAGGAAACAGAGAGAGAGAGAGAAAGUUUAUCUCUGUGUGUCUUUCCCUCUCUCUCUCUCUCUUUCUCUCUCUCGCUCUGCCUUUCUCUCUCUCUUUCUUUCUUUCUUUCUAUCUCUCUCUUUCUCUCUCUCUUGCUUUCUCUCUUGAGUGAGAGGUGAGGGGUCAGGUCGGGGGUCGGGGCCCUGCUUGGGNNNNNNNNNNNNNNNNNNNNNNNNNN